Ornithorhynchus anatinus (platypus) is the source of this 541-nucleotide non-coding RNA. The record is from the annotation of a RefSeq genome assembly. Lineage: Eukaryota; Metazoa; Chordata; Mammalia; Monotremata; Ornithorhynchidae.
CUGGGACAGAAGGAGAAGCAGGAAGGUCUAGGAGAGGGAAACGACUCCUUGGGCUGGGAACCUUGUCCUUAGGGACCCCGGCUACAGAGUGAGGAUGGAGCAGCCCCUAAGAGCCUCAUUACUUAUCCUAUGGUUCCAGCUGGUCUGGGUGAGCGGCCAGGACAAGGUGGAGCAGAUUCCUUUGUCCCUGAAGAUCCGGGAGGGAGAGAACGGCACUAUGAUCUGCAACUACACAAUCAGGAAUUUUUAUAGUUUGCAGUGGUACCGUCAGUAUGCUGGGAAAGGCCUUGAAUUCCUGUUGCUCCUAAGCUCAAGUGGUAAUAAGAAGCAGGUUGGAAGACUGGCAGCCGACCUCAAUAUUGAAGAAAGGAUCAGCUCCCUGCUCAUCAGGGACUCCCAGGCUGAAGACUCAGCCACCUACCUUUGUGCUGGGGAGACACAGUGAUCCCCAGACACCUGCAGCCCGUGCAGAAACCCUGUAGCUGGGGCUCCUGCUCACUCAUUGUCUCACCCUUCCUCAACCCUUUGCACAAACAGUCAG